This 1115-nucleotide ribosomal RNA is filed under the name Grania efflorescens. RNAcentral describes it as "bacterial LSU rRNA". It matches the Rfam family "Bacterial large subunit ribosomal RNA", at positions 1333 to 2465 of the family's 2925-position model. Lineage: Eukaryota; Rhodophyta; Florideophyceae; Acrochaetiales; Acrochaetiaceae. The record is from RNAcentral.
UGCCCCGAAAACCUAAGGAUUCCUCUGGAAGGUUCGUCCACGGAGGGUGAGUCAGGGCCUAAGGCGAGGCUGAAAAGCGUAGUCGAUGGAUGACAGGUUAAUAUUCCUGUACUAUUUAUAGUUGAUAACGAGGGACGAAGAAGGCUAGGUCAGCCGGAUGUUGGUUACCGGUUUAAACUCUCAAUGUGAUGAGGAGUGGAGAAAACAUUCUGAGCAAAGAAGUGAAUACAAAAUACUAAGGUAUUAAAGUGAUUGAUGUCAUACUUCCUAGAAAAGCUCGAUCUAUCUUAAACUAUAAAUACCUGUACCCGAAACCGACACAGGUAGGUAGGUAGAGUAUACCAAGGGGCGCGAGAUAACUCUCUCUAAGGAACUCGGCAAAAUGGCCCCGUAACUUCGGAAGAAGGGGUACCCUUGUAGGGUUGCAAUAACCAGGCCCAAGCGACUGUUUAUCAAAAACACAGGUCUCCGCUAAGUCGCAAGACAAUGUAUGGGGGCUGACGCCUGCCCAGUGCCGGAAGGUUAAAGAAGUUGGUUAAUAUUAUUAUGAAGCUGACGACUGAAGCCCCGGUGAACGGCGGCCGUAACAAUAACGGUCCUAAGGUAGCGAAAUUCCUUGUCGGGUAAGUUCCGACCCGCACGAAAGGCGUAACGAUUUGGGUACUGUCUCGGAGAGAGACUCGGCGAAAUAGACUUGUCUGUGAAGAUGCGGACUACCUGCACCUGGACAGAAAGACCCUAUGAAGCUUUACUGUAACUUGGAAUUGAGUUUGGGCUUUUCUUGCGCAGCAUAGGUGGGAGGCUAAGAAAAUAGGUUUGCGGAUUUAUUUGAGCCAUCAGUGAGAUACCACUCUGGAAAAGCUAGAAUUCUAACCUUGAAAGCCGUUAACCGGCCAAGGAACAGUUUCAGGCGGGCAGUUUGACUGGGGCGGUCGCCUCCUAAAAAGUAACGGAGGCGUGCAAAGGUUCCCUCAGGCUGGUUGGAAAUCAGUCGUAGAGUGUAAAGGCAUAAGGGAGCUUGACUGCAAGACCUACAAGUCGAGCAGAGACGAAAGUCGGCCUUAGUGAUCCGACAGUGCCGAGUGGAAGGGCUGUCGCUCAACGGAUAAAAGUUA